This 497-nucleotide ribosomal RNA is filed under the name uncultured bacterium. RNAcentral's name for it is "partial 16S ribosomal RNA". It matches the Rfam family "Bacterial small subunit ribosomal RNA", at positions 28 to 507 of the family's 1533-position model. The record is from RNAcentral.
GACGAACGCUGGCGGCGUGCCUAAUACAUGCAAGUUGAGCGCUGAAGGUUGGUACUUGUACCAACUGGAUGAGCAGCGAACGGGUGAGUAACGCGUGGGGAAUCUGCCUUUGAGCGGGGGACAACAUUUGGAAACGAAUGCUAAUACCGCAUAAAAACUUUAAACACAAGUUUUAAGUUUGAAAGAUGCAAUUGCAUCACUCAAAGAUGAUCCCGCGUUGUAUUAGCUAGUUGGUGAGGUAAAGGCUCACCAACGCGAUGAUACAUAGCCGACCUGAGAGGGUGAUCGGCCACAUUGGGACUGAGACACGGCCCAAACUCCUACGGGAGGCAGCAGUAGGGAAUCUUCGGCAAUGGACGAAAGUCUGACCGAGCAACGCCGCGUGAGUGAAGAAGGUUUUCGGAUCGUAAAACUCUGUUGGUAGAGAAGAACGUUGGUGAGAGUGGAAAGCUCAUCAAGUGACGGUAACUACCCAGAAAGGGACGGCUAACUACGUG